AUCAGUCAUAUGAAUCAAUCGAUCGAUCUGAGUCCGAUGUGAAAUCCCAAUGAAAAACUCUUUUUCUAUUAUUUCACUCUGUCAUGGCCAUGGGCUUAAGGACUCGAUCUUUCGAUCAUCAUAGGACUACUCCUCUCAUCUAUCGAGGUUGAUAGAUCCCAUCUUGGUGUGACUUAGUUCCUACAAUGAAUAUGCUACAGCCAACAUACACCUCAGGAUUCUGAAUGGCUAGGAGAUCGAGUUAUGGUGUAGUCAAACUAUAACACACUCAAGGUGAACUGUCGAUGCAUCUCAAGUCAAAGAACUAGACAUAC
RNAcentral lists this long non-coding RNA (314 nucleotides) under Elaeis guineensis (African oil palm). Its description in RNAcentral is "long non-coding RNA (EGUI_LNC014522)". Lineage: Eukaryota; Viridiplantae; Streptophyta; Magnoliopsida; Arecales; Arecaceae. The record is from RNAcentral.